UCCCACUGUCCCUAUCUACUAUCCAGCGAACCCACAGCCAAGGGAGCGGGCUUGGAAUAAUCAGCGGGGAAAGAAGCCCUGUUGAGCUUGACUCUAGUCUGACGUUGUGAAAUAUCUUAUGAGGUGUAGUAUACGUGGGAGCUUCGGCGAACUUGAAAUACCACGACUCGUAAUGUUGUUUUACUUAUUCCAUUGUGCAGAGACCGCACGCUUUCGGGCGCUGCGAUUCUGGAUUUAAACCUUUUUCGGUGAUCUGAUUGGGAGACACCGUCAGGUGGGGAGUUUGGCUGGG
This 292-nucleotide ribosomal RNA is filed under the name uncultured Stichotrichia. Its description in RNAcentral is "partial Eukaryotic large subunit ribosomal RNA". It matches the Rfam family "Eukaryotic large subunit ribosomal RNA", at positions 2334 to 2629 of the family's 3401-position model. The record is from RNAcentral. Lineage: Eukaryota; Ciliophora; Spirotrichea.